This 506-nucleotide ribosomal RNA is filed under the name uncultured Flavobacterium sp. RNAcentral's name for it is "bacterial SSU rRNA". It matches the Rfam family "Bacterial small subunit ribosomal RNA", at positions 9 to 513 of the family's 1533-position model. The record is from RNAcentral. Lineage: Bacteria; Pseudomonadati; Bacteroidota; Flavobacteriia; Flavobacteriales; Flavobacteriaceae.
GAGUUUGAUCUUGGCUCAGGAUGAACGCUAGCGGCAGGCUUAACACAUGCAAGUCGAGGGGUAGAGUUAGCUUGCUAACUUGAGACCGGCGCACGGGUGCGUAACGCGUAUGCAAUCUACCUUGUACAGGGGGAUAGCCCAGAGAAAUUUGGAUUAAUACCCCAUAGUGUUAUGAUGUGGCAUCACAUUAUAACUAAAGUUCCAACGGUACAAGAUGAGCAUGCGUCCCAUUAGCUAGUUGGUGUGGUAACGGCAUACCAAGGCAACGAUGGGUAGGGGUCCUGAGAGGGAGAUCCCCCACACUGGUACUGAGACACGGACCAGACUCCUACGGGAGGCAGCAGUGAGGAAUAUUGGUCAAUGGGCGCAAGCCUGAACCAGCCAUGCCGCGUGCAGGAUGACGGUCCUAUGGAUUGUAAACUGCUUUUGUACAGGAAGAAACACUCCCCUCGUGAGGGAGCUUGACGGUACUGUAAGAAUAAGGAUCGGCUAACUCCGUGCCAGCC